RNAcentral lists this long non-coding RNA (290 nucleotides) under Trifolium pratense (red clover). RNAcentral's name for it is "long non-coding RNA (TPRA_LNC011394)". Lineage: Eukaryota; Viridiplantae; Streptophyta; Magnoliopsida; Fabales; Fabaceae. The record is from RNAcentral.
CAGCGAUCUGUUUUGCCAAGUACAACCAAGUCCAUGUAUUUUAUUUUCUUUCCCUCUAUUUACAUUAGUUCUCUUAUGACCAGAGUCAUUAUUGCCACUAUUGAUUUUUCCUUUCUAUGUGAAAUGCAAUGUGACUAAGACAACCCUAUAUGAGACAAUGAUCCGGAUAAAAACCCAUACCAAUAGGAAAAAUCUGCCACACAGGCUCCUGCCACACAGGCCCUAAAACUUGCCACACAGGCUCUACUACAACACAUACCAAUGGGGAACAUCUGCCACACAGGCUCCUG